AGUGAACGCUGGCGGUAGGCCUAACACAUGCAAGUCGAACGGCAGCACAGUAAGAGCUUGCUCUUACGGGUGGCGAGUGGCGGACGGGUGAGGAAUACAUCGGAAUCUACUUUUUCGUGGGGGAUAACGUAGGGAAACUUACGCUAAUACCGCAUACGACCUACGGGUGAAAGCAGGGGAUCUUCGGACCUUGCGCGAUUGAAUGAGCCGAUGUCGGAUUAGCUAGUUGGCGGGGUAAAGGCCCACCAAGGCGACGAUCCGUAGCUGGUCUGAGAGGAUGAUCAGCCAAACUGGAACUGAGACACGGUCCAGACUACUACGGGAGGCAGCAGUGGGGAAUAUUGGACAAUGGGCGCAAGCCUGAUCCAGCAAUACCGCGUGGGUGAAGAAGGACUUCGGGUUGUAAAGCCCUUUUGUUGGGAAAGAAAAGCAGCAGGUUAAUACCCCGCUGUUCUGACGGUACCCAAAGAAUAAGCACCGGCUAACUUCGUG
RNAcentral lists this ribosomal RNA (492 nucleotides) under uncultured bacterium. RNAcentral's name for it is "partial 16S ribosomal RNA". It matches the Rfam family "Bacterial small subunit ribosomal RNA", at positions 29 to 507 of the family's 1533-position model. The record is from RNAcentral.